Molecule: ribosomal RNA, 429 nt
Filed under: Chloroflexota bacterium
Lineage: Bacteria; Bacillati; Chloroflexota
Description: Chloroflexi bacterium partial 16S ribosomal RNA
Rfam family: Bacterial small subunit ribosomal RNA
Source: RNAcentral
UGGGGAAUAUUGCACAAUGGGCGCAAGCCUGAUGCAGCCAUGCCGCGUGUGUGAAGAAGGCCUUCGGGUUGUAAAGCACUUUCAGCGGGGAGGAAGGCGUUAAGGUUAAUAACCUUGGCGAUUGACGUUACCCGCAGAAGAAGCACCGGCUAACUCCGUGCCAGCAGCCGCGGUAAUACGGAGGGUGCAAGCGUUAAUCGGAAUUACUGGGCGUAAAGCGCACGCAGGCGGUCUGUCAAGUCGGAUGUGAAAUCCCCGGGCUCAACCUGGGAACUGCAUUCGAAACUGGCAGGCUAGAGUCUUGUAGAGGGGGGUAGGAUUCCAGGUGUAGCGGUGACAUGCGUAGAGAUGUGGAGGAAUACCGGUGGCGAAGGCGGCCCCCUGGACAAAGACUGACGCUCAGGUGCGAAAGCGUGGGGAGCAAACAGG